UGGGGAAUUUUGCGCAAUGGACGAAAGUCUGACGCAGCAACGCCGCGUGGGUGAUGAAGGUCUUCGGAUCGUAAAACCCUGUCGUCAGGGACGAAGGGUUGGGGCCUAAUACGCCUUGACCUUGACGGUACCUGGAGAGGAAGCCCCGGCUAACUCUGUGCCAGCAGCCGCGGUAAUACAGAGGGGGCAAGCGUUAUUCGGAAUUAUUGGGCGUAAAGGGCGCGUAGGCGGUUCUUUAAGUCGGAUGUGCAAUCCCCGAGCUCAACUUGGGAACUGCAGCCGAGACUGGAGAGCUAGAGUGCUGGAGAGGGUGGUGGAAUUCCACGUGUAGCGGUGAAAUGCGUAGAGAUGUGGAGGAACACCAGUGGCGAAGGCGGCCACCUGGACAGUAACUGACGCUGAGGCGCGAAAGUGUGGGGAGCAAACA
This 427-nucleotide ribosomal RNA is filed under the name uncultured prokaryote. RNAcentral describes it as "bacterial SSU rRNA". It matches the Rfam family "Bacterial small subunit ribosomal RNA", at positions 355 to 774 of the family's 1533-position model. The record is from RNAcentral.